UGGGGGAUAUUGCACAAUGGGCGAAAGCCUGAUGCAGCGACGCCGCGUGGGGGAUGAAGGCCUUCGGGUGGUAAACUUCUUUUGCUCUGAACAAGGCAUGCUAAUGGGUGUGUUGAGUGUAGGGGUUGAUUAGCGCCGGCUAACUACGUGCCAGCAGCCGCGGUAAUACGUAGGGCGCGAGCGUUGUCCGGAAUUAUUGGGCGUAAAGGGCUUGUAGGUGGCUGGUUGCGUCUGUCGUGAAAGCUCAUGGCUUAACUGUGGGUUUGCGGUGGGUACGGGCUGGCUUGGGUGCAGUAGGGGAGGCUGGAAUUCCUGGUGUAGCGGUGGAAAGCGCAGAUAUCAGGAGGAAUACCGGUGGCGAAGGCGGGUCUCUGGGCUGUUACUGACACUGAGGAGCGAAAGCAUGGGGAGCGAACAGG
This 419-nucleotide ribosomal RNA is filed under the name bacterium. RNAcentral describes it as "partial 16S ribosomal RNA". It matches the Rfam family "Bacterial small subunit ribosomal RNA", at positions 355 to 776 of the family's 1533-position model. The record is from RNAcentral.